GGUGAAGCCAAGCUUGCUUGGUGGAUCAGUGGCGAACGGGUGAGUAACACGUGAGCAACCUGCCCUGGACUCUGGGAUAAGCGCUGGAAACGGCGUCUAAUACUGGAUAUGAGCCUCUAUCGCAUGGUGGGGGUUGGAAAGAUUUUUUGGUCUGGGAUGGGCUCGCGGCCUAUCAGCUUGUUGGUGAGGUAAUGGCUCACCAAGGCGUCGACGGGUAGCCGGCCUGAGAGGGUGACCGGCCACACUGGGACUGAGACACGGCCCAGACUCCUACGGGAGGCAGCAGUGGGGAAUAUUGCACAAUGGGCGGAAGCCUGAUGCAGCAACGCCGCGUGAGGGAUGACGGCCUUCGGGUUGUAAACCUCUUUUAGCAGGGAAGAAGCGAGAGUGACGGUACCUGCAGAAAAAGCGCCGGCUAACUACGUGCCAGCAGCCGCGGUAAUACGUAGGGCGCAAGCGUUAUCCGGAAUUAUUGGGCGUAAAGAGCUCGUAGGCGGUUUGUCGCGUCUGCUGUGAAAUCCCGAGGCUCAACCUCGGGCCUGCAGUGGGUACGGGCAGACUAGAGUGCGGUAGGGGAGAUUGGAAUUCCUGGUGUAGCGGUGGAAUGCGCAGAUAUCAGGAGGAACACCGAUGGCGAAGGCAGAUCUCUGGGCCGUAACUGACGCUGAGGAGC
RNAcentral lists this ribosomal RNA (673 nucleotides) under Microbacterium hydrothermale. RNAcentral's name for it is "bacterial SSU rRNA". It matches the Rfam family "Bacterial small subunit ribosomal RNA", at positions 68 to 754 of the family's 1533-position model. The record is from RNAcentral. Lineage: Bacteria; Bacillati; Actinomycetota; Actinomycetes; Micrococcales; Microbacteriaceae.